Molecule: long non-coding RNA, 737 nt
Organism: Oxyura jamaicensis (ruddy duck)
Lineage: Eukaryota; Metazoa; Chordata; Aves; Anseriformes; Anatidae
Exons: 3
Source: RefSeq, a predicted model, not a curated record
GUGGGGUACACAGCAAAAUCCAUCAGUGCUGGGAUGCGGUGGUUUUAAAGCUGGCUUCCAGCUGUAACUGUGUUGGAUUUCAGGUUUCAAUACUGAAAUAAAAGAAGCAAACUCUUGACUUGGGCUGCAGUCCUUUACAGGCUUGGAGGUGGUGCUGUGGAAUGUAAAUGUGCCCUUUCUUUGCAUAAAAACACUGUUCCAGGUGUGCGUUUUCUCCUACGAUGUGCCAUUAUAGGCACCUAAUUCUAUAUUGGUCACCAGAAUAAGCUGCAGCAGGCAUUUCAGAAAGUGCGUAUUGCUUUUUCAUAUGCCCAGGACAGCUGAAUGUGCUGCACCAAUUGGUUACGAGAUCCCAAAGCUGCCACUCAUCUCGAAAAUCUAAAUUGAUGCCUGCAGCACUGAUGUCAAUUUCAAUGCAGAGUUCUGGUCAAGUUGGCCCCACUGUGGAAUACAAAAACAAGUCGACGUGCCACUCACGCUGCUAAAUAGCUGGCUAUGCAAGGCAGAUGCACCUGUUGGAGGCACCUAGGAGAGUUUCAGGCCAAGCUGGUGAGAAAUGGAGGGGAAAGAAAAUGCGCCGCAUUCUGGAGUGGCGUAAUAGGGGUCGUCGGCACCCUGCAUUGCGCUGAAAAAGUAACAAAGAUGCUCCUUUGCUGGUCUUUUCAUGAGCUUUUAACCAAAAUGAAAUGGUUUUGCACUGCAGGUUUAAAAUAAGACUUGUGUGGUACUUUUAUCCU